UUGGGUUUAAAGUGCGUGUAGGCGGUUUUGGUAAGACAGAUGUGAAAAUUCCCGGGGCUUAACCUGGGGAACUGCAUUUGUGACUGCCAGGCUAGAGUGCGGCAGAGGGGAGUGGAAUUCCGCGUGUAGCAGUGAAAUGCGUAGAUAUGCGGAGGAACACCGGUGGCGAAGGCGGCUUCCUGGACCGAAACUGACGCUGAGACGCGAAAGCGUGGGAGCAAACAGGAUUAGAUACCCGAGUA
This 242-nucleotide ribosomal RNA is filed under the name uncultured Pseudomonadota bacterium. Its description in RNAcentral is "uncultured proteobacterium partial 16S ribosomal RNA". It matches the Rfam family "Bacterial small subunit ribosomal RNA", at positions 554 to 792 of the family's 1533-position model. The record is from RNAcentral. Lineage: Bacteria; Pseudomonadati; Pseudomonadota.